This 379-nucleotide ribosomal RNA is filed under the name uncultured archaeon. RNAcentral's name for it is "bacterial SSU rRNA". It matches the Rfam family "Archaeal small subunit ribosomal RNA", at positions 345 to 727 of the family's 1478-position model. The record is from RNAcentral.
AAACUUCGCAAUAAGCGAAAGCUUGACGGGGCCAUCCCGAGUGCCGUCUGCUGAAGACGGCUUUUACUCAGUAUAGAUAGCUGGGAGAAUAAGGAGAGGGCAAGUCUGGUGUCAGCCGCCGCGGUAAUACCAGCUCUCCGAGUUGUGGGGAUAAUUAUUGGGCCUAAAGCAUCCGUAGCCGGCUGAGAAAGUCCCCUGUUAAAUCCAGCGACGAAUCGUUGGCCUGCGGGGGAUACUUCUCGGCUAGGGGGCGGGAGAGGCCGUCGGUAUUCUUGGGGUAGGGGUGAAAUCCUAUAAUCCCAGGAGGACCACCAGUGGCGAAGGCUGUCGGCUAGAACGCGCCCGACGGUGAGGGAUGAAAGCUGGGGGAGCGAACCGG